CUGUAAUCCAUCGACAACCUGGUGGAAAUCAAACACUGAGGAGGGAAAAUAAGUUCACAGAAAGUCCAAAAAACAACAACAACAAAAACAAAUCCAGCGCCAUACGCACCAAGGCCAGGCAAAUGUAUGACCACGCCGUUACCUACAAGAUCAGAGAGAAGAUAUCAAAGAGUUGAGACGAAACACAUUUGUGAAAUGACUUCACCUUAAAGCAUCACAAUGACUUCAAGCAGACAUCCAGAACUCAGACUCUGAUCCAACUGAAAAGAUGUGGGAGCUGCACACAAGACAUACCCUCUCGUAAUAUGACUGACGGGUACACGCUUAUGCAACCAGUUUAUUCAAUUAUAUGAUUCAAUAUUUUACCAUGGGCAGCAUAAUGAAGGGUUCGAAUCUCAGCUGUGACCUUCCUAUAUUGAAUUUGCAUAUUCUCCCCUCCCCGUAUUUGCACGGGUUUUCUCUGGGUCCUCCAUGUUCCUUCCACAUUCCAAAAACAUUCGGUUAAGUUCCCUGAAUUCUAAAUUGAUAAGUGUCAUUGUGAGUACGAAUGGUUGCUUUUCUCCAGCCCAGGAUGUUGUUCGCCUCUCAGUCAGCUGGGAUUGGUUGCACCUCACUCAUGAGCAGACAAAAAAAAAAAGGUAUUGCUUUUCUUAUAUUAUUCUAAGAUGUAUUUUUCAAUUCCGGUGUGGUUGUGCAUCACAUUUUUUUUAAACAUGGAUCACUCUAUAAAACAAUAUUAAGACCGUCGUUGACAAUCCAUGGUCUUUUCCACUUCACAUAGUCUGCCCGCCCUAUUUUAACACCCCUGGCUCAGAAUCUGCUGUUGGGGCCACGUCUGCCCUCCCUCUCAGACUUGGCCUUCUCACAUAUCAAGCCACUCUGAGAAUGUGACUUGCUCUAUAGUGCACUGGUUGUGUAAAGGAGGGAUCUGGCUUGUGCUGUUGGAAAAUAAAGUACAACGUCCAGCCACUGUUGGCAGCUCGUCCAGAACUGGACUGACCAAUGAUUUCUGACCAGUGUUAUAUCUCACAUGCGAGUAAUCUGAAGCCGACUCAAUGUUUUUAUUAUGAUAGUCAAUCAACGCACGCACAUAAACAUCGCAUUA
Molecule: long non-coding RNA, 1105 nt
Organism: Hippocampus comes (tiger tail seahorse)
Lineage: Eukaryota; Metazoa; Chordata; Actinopteri; Syngnathiformes; Syngnathidae
Exons: 3
Source: RefSeq, a predicted model, not a curated record